Molecule: unclassified non-coding RNA, 754 nt
Filed under: Hevea brasiliensis (rubber tree)
Lineage: Eukaryota; Viridiplantae; Streptophyta; Magnoliopsida; Malpighiales; Euphorbiaceae
Source: RNAcentral
UUGCUUGCUGCACACAUUUGAGUCAUGUCAGCUUGAAUGGAUGUAUUAAUAUGCAUGAUUUAAAUUGGGGAUUUUCUGGAGAUCAACUGUCACAAAUACCCAGUGUUAGUAUACCUCAUGUAUCUUCCCUGGGAGAACAGCAGUUGUCAAAUGAACAACCAAAGCGUUUGCUAGAGAACCUUAACUGUGUAGGCUGCCCAAAUAUAAAAAAGGUGCUUAUUCCAAUGGCACAAGGUUUCCUUUUGUCAUCAUUAAACCUUUCCCUGUCUGGGAAUUUGAAGGAGGUUGAUAUAGCUUGUUACAACUUGUGCGUUCUCAAUUUGAGCAAUUGCUGUUCAUUGGAAUCAUUGCAACUGGAAUGUCCAAGAUUAAGUAGCCUCUUUCUUCAGUCCUGCAACGUUGAUGAGGAAUCAGUUGAAGCUGCUGUGUCACGAUGUAUGAUGCUUGAGACGCUUGACGUUCGCUUUUGUCCCAAGAUUUGUCCAUUGAACAUGACGAGGUUGCGGGUUGCAUGUCCCAGUUUGAAACGCAUCUUCAGCAGCCUAGUCCCAUCGUGAGGCAAAAUGAAAUAUUUGAUAGGUUUGUGUAGGCUGGCUAGGGACGGACAUAUUUGACUAGAGAGGUUCAUAUUUUAUGUAUAGUUUAGCUAGUUAUGUUGCUGUGAUUGGUGAAAACAUACAGCGAGCUUCAUACAUGUAACACCUUAAACUUAAUAUUUUAACUAUUUAUGUUGUGAUUGGUGAAACAUACAGCG